RNAcentral lists this long non-coding RNA (3153 nucleotides) under Salmo salar (Atlantic salmon). Its description in RNAcentral is "lncRNA (ENSSSAG00000109679.1)". Lineage: Eukaryota; Metazoa; Chordata; Actinopteri; Salmoniformes; Salmonidae. The record is from RNAcentral.
AAGCCAAUUAAAUAGAAAUUGAGUGUCAAUUUGUAGGUAAGUUAAUGGAAGAGUGUCCUCCCUCCAUAGCCACCUUUCAACGAAAAUAGUCAUGUAGAGCCUAUACCUGAGUCCUUUGCGGAAGAGUUUUGAAAUAUGCCACACCCCCUUUGAAUCAGCUUUUGUUUUGUCGGAAGACAAACGGUCAGUUGUUGAAGAGGUUGAGGUGUAAUACGGCAGAGAAUACAUGAUGCCACAAUGACAUUUCAAUUUUGUUUACCAAACUUCUUCCAACCAAUUUCCCCCUGGGGUCCCAAGAAGCUUGGGUUGGACGGACCUGAGAUGAGCUGUUUUGGAAUAAGCUGAAGGACCCACGCUACAUAAGUAGGACCUACAACUCCUUGACAGUACCAAAUGUGAUGGAAAAAAAUAUUCCCAUCCCCCUCUAUCAUGCUUGAUAGACAUUCCCAGUCUUCAAGUUGAAGGUGAGGGAUUUCAACAGUAGGUCACAAUCUGAUUACACCUACAAAACAUAUCUAAUACAGAUACACUGCUCUCAUAACUACUAUCACCACCCUCUCUCUUGUCUCUGCUCUCAUAACUACUAUCACCACCCUCUCUCCUGUCUCUGCUCUCAUAACUACUAUCACCACCCUCUCUCCUGUCUCUGCUCUCAUAACUACUAUCACCACCCUCUCUCCUGUCUCUGCUCUCAUAACUACUAUCACCACCCUCUCUCCUGUCUCUGCUCUCAUAACUACUAUCACCACCCUCUCUCUUGUCUCUGCUCUCAUAACUACUAUCACCACCCUCUCUCCUGUCUCUGCUCUCAUAACUACUAUCACCACCCUCUCUCCUGUCUCUGCUCUCAUAACUACUAUCACCACCCCUCUCUCCUGUCUCUGCUCUCAUAACUACUAUCACCACCCUCUCUCCUGUCUCUGCUCUCAUAACUACUAUCACCACCCUCUCUCCUGUCUCUGCUCUCAUAACUACUAUCACCACCCUCUCUCCUGUCUCUGCUCUCAUAACUACUAUCACCACCCUCUCUCCUGUCUUUUUUUGUCUCUGCUCUCAAAACUACUAUCACCCCCAGCACCACCCUCUGUCCUGUCUCUGCUUGCUCUGAUAGGGUCUGCCGUAAUUAUGGGGAGAAGUACGCCCUGCAGGACUUUACUGCCUGGGGCUCUACCUCUCAGCCGGUGGUCCAGUGGAACCGCACAAACCUAGGGACCUUCAAUGGGGAGGGGGGAGUCUGGAGGGUAGAAUGUGGGUGUUAAGGGAUCUCACCCAGGCACACUCGGGCCACUAUGCCCUCCAAGGCACUGACAGGAGGUUGAUAUCUACAACGAUGCUUAAUGUCACAGCUGAGGGAAGAUUCUGCCUACAACUUUCACUUUUAUCUUGUUUGUCAUUUCCCCUCACCCCAAAUAAUUUAACAUUAUUUUUAUUAUAUCACUCGCUAAUGCAAUGCGUGUGAAUGUCUCUCUCAGCACGUAGUACUCUAGGUCUUUCGGUUACUGUGUUCAUUGUCAUCAUUGCUGAGGUGGCUGCAUGCUGCUGUGUGAAGAAGUGUUGCUGCAAGACUGAGACCCCCAAACUAGACGGCUCUGUUCCUAUGCCAGGACAGCCGAUGGUGUAAAUACUACUACAACAAACCAACAUGUGUAUCAAGGUCUAACAGGAGGAUGUUAACUCCCACAAUAUAUUUUGGGGAAUAUUUAACUUUGUGUAUGGUUUUCAGGAUAACUGUGAACCUUCUGCACCAAUUUUCCGUAGCCACCCCAGGAAACCAGCUUUACCUGUAGGUGUAUUCUCUCCUCUUUUAUUUUGCCCUCUGCCUAUUCCUUUAUUUAUUUACUAAUUUCAAAAUCUCUCACACUAUCUCUACCCCCUGAGCCAAACAGUCUCGUUGUGGACAGUGAGCCGAAUCCCUCCAAUGAGACGAGUUUUCUGAAUCCACUGCUGUACAAUCUUGUUGUGGACAGUGAGUCUAAUCCAGCCAAUGGCAAUGAGACUACACAUGUGACUUCCCCUCAAAUCCCCCCUAUGAUAAUUCUUUGAUAUUUUCGACCCGGUGAUUUGUAUGUGUUUGUCUAAUUGGUACAAUGUGAGGAAGUCCUUAUUACUGUUCGCCUGGCAACCCAGAAUCGUUACUCUGGCCAAAAUCUACACCACUCCCACAGAUGUUAGUUUCUUCUCCACAAUAAAUCCGGAUCGGAGUACUUCCCCAACCCUUCACUGGAUGUGAACACAUUCGUGGCCGUCUGUUUGGGCCAGAGUCUGAACACACGUCGGUAAAGUGGUGGUUUGAAAAUUCGUCAUUGACUUUGAUACUCUGAUUGUUAGCGACGAUCCAAUCGCUGAUGACUUUAUUUUGUACAAUGCCCCUUGUGCCCCUCUUCACCACAAACAACUUCAAUGAUGGCAGUCUCAGACAGUAUGUAGCAAACGAUAGUGCAGCAGAAGAAGUGUGUCAGGCUAUAUUACCAAAGACUUUUUUAUAACUAACCCAAGAUAGAUCAGAACCUGUCGUUUGCAAUGGGAGCAAAUUAAUCAUAGUGGGCAGAACAAGCAUGGAGGUGGGCAGAGCCAAGCACAAGCUAGUGAGAUCCUAUUUGCGCGUUCCAGCAUUUUGCAUAUUUCCGUUAGGGAACUCCUACCCUUGCACUCUAAAACAAUGCAAAUCAAAAAAAUGCAGUCCACUCGGUGUGUUACAUAUUCUCGUUUUGGAAACAACUGUAUGGAGAUCAAAUGUUUCAUUGAUGAGGAAAUUAGCGGCCAAAAUGUCGGCCAAAAUCCAUCUCGCUCCAUCUUCUCCCACUGCCGGCCACUGUGUUUUCUCUCAUCACCAUAUUUGGUAGUGAGUGGAAACGCCAACCGGACGCUUCACAUUUAUACAUCUGGUGAAACAUCAGGCUCAUUGUUCUAUCCAUGAUAUUACUGUAUAGUUGUCAAUGUAUUGGUUCACUCUGAAAUGUUUUGGAGCACCAGCUUGUGCUAGCUGAUGUUUUGAAUAUGAAUACUGAUUUCUCAACUGAUGAACUUUGUAAUAUAAUAAACUACAAUAUAAAAAAACAUUGAUCAACAUCUCUCAUUGACUAUCACUGAAUGAUUGUAGUUCCCGCAGAACCUGUUUUGAAAUGUUCCAGGAGUUAUUUACAUUUACAUUUA